GCCUGGUGUGGUAGCGUGUGCCUGUAGUCCCAGCUACUUGGGAGGCUGAGGUGGGAGGAUCGCUUGAGCCCAGGAGUUCUGGGUUGUAGUGCUCUAUGCCGAUUGGGUGUCCGCACUAAGUUUGGCAUCAAUAUGGUGACCUCCUGGGAGCGGGGGACCACCAGGUUGCCUACGGAGGGGUGAACCGGCCCAGGCUGGAAAUGGAGCAGGUCAAAACUCCCGUUCUGAUGAGUAGUGGGAUCACACCUAUGAAUAGCCACCCUACUCCAGCAUGGGCAACACAGCGAGACCCCGUCUGGA
Callithrix jacchus (white-tufted-ear marmoset) is the source of this 300-nucleotide unclassified non-coding RNA. It matches the Rfam family "Metazoan signal recognition particle RNA". Rfam says of the family: The signal recognition particle (SRP) is a universally conserved ribonucleoprotein. It is involved in the co-translational targeting of proteins to membranes. NCBI's taxonomy places the organism in Eukaryota, Metazoa, Chordata, Mammalia, Primates, Cebidae. The record is from Ensembl.